RNAcentral lists this long non-coding RNA (209 nucleotides) under Mytilus galloprovincialis (Mediterranean mussel). Lineage: Eukaryota; Metazoa; Mollusca; Bivalvia; Mytilida; Mytilidae. The record is from RNAcentral.
AGCUAUGUGGCAGUGGAAUGGUCUUCUUGACGGUUAAUUAGGUGGUGUCUAGACUAAAACACACAUGAAAUGCCAAUUUAUUAUCGAUUACAUGCAUUGUUAAGUGUUUAUUUCAGACAUUUUAAUUCUGAUAUAUUUUUUUAAAUCAUUUUACAUCAAAUAUGAGAAUUUAAGUCAACUCAGUGAACAUAGAUGUGAUAGAUAAUGCC